AUGCACCACGCGUCCAUUGCGAUGCCUGUGCGCCGGCCGCACCCACCUGACGACUGCUCGCUAGGUUUUUGGUAGUC
Molecule: small RNA, 77 nt
Filed under: Xanthomonas arboricola
Lineage: Bacteria; Pseudomonadati; Pseudomonadota; Gammaproteobacteria; Lysobacterales; Lysobacteraceae
Description: sRNA sX9
Rfam family: Xanthomonas sRNA sX9
Source: RNAcentral